This 1447-nucleotide long non-coding RNA is filed under the name Homo sapiens (human). Its description in RNAcentral is "HSALNT0396156". Lineage: Eukaryota; Metazoa; Chordata; Mammalia; Primates; Hominidae. The record is from RNAcentral.
GGGGUGUAGUGUGUCGAACUAAGUGGGUGUCAGGGGUUCACUUACAGACUUUGUAUGUUUUUACAAACUGCAGCAAUUAAGUCGUCAAUUACCGUGUUGAUUUAAAUACAUAUAAAAACUUUCAGACAAAAAUAGACGUUCACAUUACCAUGAUGAAAAAAGUCAGUAAUGGUGAUUCCUCUGUGAAACUAGAAAAGAAAUCCAGUGGUUAAACUUGGCAGCUCCAAGGGUAUCACUGCCCCCUAGGACAGUGGUCCCCAACCUUUUUGGUAGCAGGGAGCAGUUUCAUGGAAGACAACUUUUCCACAGACUGCGGGGGAGGGGUGCGGUUUUGGGAGGAUUCAGCUGCAUUAAAUCUAUUGUGCACUUUAUUUCUAUUAUUAUUACAUUGUAAUAUAUGAUGAAAUAAUUAUACAACUCACCAUAAUGUAGAAUCAGUGAGAGCCCUGAGCUUGUUUUCCUACAACUAGAUGGUCUCAUCUGGAGGUGACGGGAGACACUGACAGAUCAUCAGGCAUUAGAUUCUCAUAAGGGGCGUGCAACCUAAAUCCCUCACAUGCACAGUUCACAACAGGGUUCGUGCUCCUAUGAGAAUCUAAUGCUACUGCUGAUGUGACAGGAGGCAGAGUUCCGGCAGUAACGUGAGUGGCCCAGUUCCUAACAGGCCAUGGACCUAUUACUGAUCCGUUGCCCAGGGGUUAGGGACCCCUGCCCUAGGCAACAUCUUGAAGAUCUAUUUGAAAUACACUUCUUGACUUUUCUUUUUUCUUUUUGAGACAGAGUCUUGCUGUGCUGCCCAGGCUGGAGUGUAGUGGUGCGAUCUCAGCUCAUUGCACCCUCUGCCUCCUGGGUUCAAGAGAUUCUCCCACCUCAGCCUCUUGAGUAGCUGGGAUUACAGGCAUGCGCCACCACACUGGCUAAUUUUUUGUAUUUUUAGAAGAGAUGAGGUUUUGCCACGUUGGCCAGGCUGGUCUCAAACUCCUGGCCUCAAGCGAUCUGCCCGCCUCAGCCUCCCAAAGUGCUGGGACUACAGGCGAGAGCCACUGCGCCCAGGCUUUUGUUGUUGUUGUUGUUUUGGUAGAGACAGGCUUUCACCAUGUUGCCCACGCUGGUCUUGAACUCAUGAACUCAAGCGAUCCACCCGGCUUGGCCUCCCAAAGUGUUGGGAUUACAGGCGUGGGCCACCGCCUUGCCUGGCCUCAAUUAUGUUUAUGAAUGUUGUGAAGUAGAAAUUAAUAUUACCCCUUCAAAUAAACAGGAAGGUGUUAGCAUACCACACGGGUCCAAAGUGAGUAUGGUUCAGAUUGGGAACAAAGCUGUGUGGCAGUAGCUGACCUAAGCCUGGGAUCAAAUCUAAAGGUUGCCUGAGAGAAACAGGGACUGCGUAGGAACAGGUCUUCCAUGAACACAGGAAAAUGAACAAACUUAGUGCUGCAGACAAGGAGGA